AAAAUAAGUUUUCUCCAUAUAUAUACAAUAAUUGUUCUAAUAAUUGUUCUUUAUGCUAUAUCUGAGAUGUUUAAUACCAAUACAUAUAUCAUAAAUGUAUAUAUGAAUUUCAAAAAAUAGGGGGAAUAUAAAAGAUAAGUAUUACGGAGUACAAUAAUUGUUGAUAAAAUUAUCUAUCAAAUUACUUCAUUGUGAGAAUAAAUUGCCUGAGAAGCUGGACAAUAAAUAUCAAUAGUUCUAUGAACAUAAGUGAUCUCCCUACAUGCAAUUAAUAGGAAAUUUCAUACUGCCAGCAAAUUUCAUACUGUCAGCAAAAGUGAUCUCCCUACUUUUUAUUGUAAUGAUAGUCACACUGAAGAGGCAUACUUUUGUACACAUACACUUCCGACUCAAAAUGGAUUAAAAUAAUGUAAACAAUGUCUUUGAGAUCAGUUAAAAAACAUAUGAAAUAUAGCUGUAUGUAAGUUUACCUUUAUUUGAAUGGUCAUAUUUUCUCUUGGAACCAAUAAUUGUUGAAUGCUCUAACUUCAUUAUUUUCUUCCAAAUUGUUGCUUAGAAUCUACAUUUGAAUGGUGAAAGUGAAUUUGAAGAAAGAUUUCCUUACUCCCUUCAAAGAAUUGGCAAUUUAUAUUAGAUUAAAUGCAUUGGUAAUGGUAGUAUAAUAAUUACUAAUACUGUUGUACUCAAAAGUAUUCCCUAUUUUAUUGGGAAUAAGAGUGGUCUGCAUUUUUCAUUUCAAUGUAAAAUUAUUGAACUGAAUUGGUUCUGUAGUUCUGAAUAUAAUUUUUUUUUCCAUACAACUUCUUCAUAGAAUUAAUAUAUACAAAAUACAUAAAUAUAUAUAUAGGCACAUAUAUAGAUAUACGUAUUCAUUAGCUAAAUUUGUCCAUAACACUAUAAACUGAUCAGAAUCAGUAACUUUUGGCUUAUCAACUUUUGCAGGUAAAAAAACAGAGAUGAUGAUACAAAAAGGUGAUACAGCAGGGUCUAUGGUUAAGAGCAGGGUCUAUGGAAUUCAAUUAUGAGCAGAAAAUUGGCUAUAAACAGACUGCUCAAAAUACCAUUAGUAAUGCACGCUACCUAUUUCAGUUUGCACUUCAGCUUAGGCAAAUGGGAGCUCCAUCAAUUUGCUGACAGGAUCUAAUUCGGAAGGCUGCUUUCCCUUGAUGUUUUC
Ipomoea triloba (trilobed morning glory) is the source of this 1174-nucleotide long non-coding RNA. RefSeq lists it as uncharacterized. NCBI's taxonomy places the organism in Eukaryota, Viridiplantae, Streptophyta, Magnoliopsida, Solanales, Convolvulaceae. The transcript is spliced from 4 exons. The record is from RefSeq and is a predicted model, not a curated record.